RNAcentral lists this long non-coding RNA (1209 nucleotides) under Mus musculus (house mouse). RNAcentral describes it as "cytoplasmic endogenous regulator of oxidative phosphorylation 1, transcript variant 3 (Cerox1)". The record is from RNAcentral. Lineage: Eukaryota; Metazoa; Chordata; Mammalia; Rodentia; Muridae.
GUACCACGUGGGCCAGGCGCCCCGCAGCCUGAUCCCUCGGCUGAGGCGGGGUCAGAGGGCUAAGGGUGACUGACUGCCCAGUGCAUGGAUCUCAGCAGCACGGCUUGACUUUCGGGCGGCAGGCAAGGAUGCUAAUCCACAAGGUUCCUGAGUCCAACAUCCCUCCCUCCAAUGUGGGGCUCGAAUCCGCUAUUGCAACCAAACCCGGGUUCUGCCCGCAGGGUGGCGCAAUGACAAGAGCCACCAGGUGACCCUGGUAACUCCCGCACCUAGACCUACAGGAGCAGUUUUUCUGCAGCACCACAUCUGUAGCCCUGCAUGCCGCUGGCUCCAGUGUUGUGUGUGUGGUCAUGCUCCAUCCAGCCCAGCAGCAACUUUGGUGUUUGACACCCCUCGGGAGGCACCGCUUUGGAAGAGACUGGUGUGUGCGGAGCCCAAGAUGUGUUGGGAACAGCUAUCGUUUCUACUGCUUUGUCCCAUGCCUCUGGAGCUCCUGGGUUCCUGAACUUCAAGCUGGGCCCCAUCCUUCACCCUAUCAGGGCCCUGGGUGGAGCUGACUUCCAACAGUAUACAGUGGGUCUUGGUACUUCCUCCUUGGCAUUCGACAGUUGGUGUUUUUGAAGUCAGAGCCAUCCUCAGUAGGCUCCUAGGGGAUCGUAAGCGGCUUUCUCUGGGUGGAAACCUACUCCAUGCAGCCUUCAGCAAAGGUACCAGCAUCUGUCACUGGGAUGGGGAAGUCCGGUGAUCGUGUCAGCAUGGGCUACGGUGGACGGGGAAAGGCUCGUUCUGACACUAGACACCUGGGUCUCUAGCCCUAUGCCUGGAUUUGUCUGGGGAACUCUGCACCACACUGAUCCUGGCUUUCCCCAUUACCUGCUCCAUGCCAGGAUCCUACGGCUGUUGAUCCCCUCGGAAGUGAGACAUAAUGUCCCGGAGCAGAUGCUGAUGGGGACUCACUGUUGGGCCACCUGAUUUCUGUGUUCAUCUUCCCAGGCUCCACCUUUCAGAUCCCAUCCCUGGUGUCUGCAGUUACAACUUUACUAACCAGAACUUUGUUUCCAGCUUACGCUGAAAAGCAAAGGGUGACUUAGAAUAAAAAUGUAACAAAUAGCCCCAUAGCCCAAACCUUUUCUGCCAUGAUUUACUGUACCAGAUACCUAUAAGUGUCCAGGGCAAAUUAAACACAUCAAUAAAUGGCUUUCUUGUGUC